This is a long non-coding RNA of Schistocerca piceifrons (Central American locust), 1965 nucleotides long. RefSeq lists it as uncharacterized. The transcript has 4 exons. The record is from RefSeq and is a predicted model, not a curated record. NCBI's taxonomy places the organism in Eukaryota, Metazoa, Arthropoda, Insecta, Orthoptera, Acrididae.
UACAAAAGAAAGUUCGAGAACAGUUCUCUCUGUGAGUGGGAAGGGUUGUGAAGAAGCGUGGGGUGUGGUGCCCGCAUAGUGUGUUGUGCGGUGAUUAAAAUGAAUAGAAUCAUUGUUAAACUGCCUAGGAUGGACGGGAAAUUAUUGCUACAGAUAAUUCUACAGUAUUAAGCAAAUAUUCGUCAAACAAGCAGAAGUGGCAAUGUUAUUACGAGGGUCAUUGGGAAGUCGUUGUUUGCUGUGAAGGAGGUAGAUAUUACGUUGCAGCAUUACCCACUGUACUGGCCAAAUAUUACGAUGGAAAUUACGACUUGGAAGCCACUGUGUAAAAGCUGCUAGACCAUCCAUCAGCAGUAAAAUCUCGCCAGAGGCUGCAAUACGUUGCUGAACACCACAACAGGACUGAAGUAUUUAUUUCUAUGGUGAAGUUCAGUAUAUUGUAUUUUUCAUAACGACGAAACAUUUGUAAAAGUCAUGAUUCGUCGUCCUCUUGUACAGGAUCAUAAGCUGGUUGUACAUAGGCCUAUAUAAAGUGCUUAAAAUUACUAUUGCCAUAUUAAGCAGAGCACCAGAUUGUGUACAAAGUACCAGCAAUAUUAUUACAUCGACAAAUAUACUAAGAACAGCUGCAGAAGAAGACAACAAGAGACACUGAUGUCACACGCCUGCUCUGUCAGUGAAGUUGAUGUUCCUGAUAGCCAGUGAUGUGACACGUGAAGCCGGUGCUGCUGCCAGUGUAAACUAUGCUUCAUUUGGCCCGAACACUGACACUUCCAAUCCAGCACAGCACAACACCGCCCUGGCCACGGAGAAUGACUGUUACAUCCAGGAAAUAAAUGAGACCCAAAUGACAAAUACGUUGUGUGAAUUCAAUGGCAAUCAUGAGAAGAGUGAUGCAAGUGUUCAGACUUAAGUCUCUAACAGAAUUGUGGCCCUUAGGAAAAAAGUGAAAUGACUGCAGAUGAAACUGAAGUGGCAUGAAGAAAAGGUGGAAACAAUGGCAGAAUUGACCAGUGCUGAAAAAAAGAAGCUAUGUAAAUGACAAUCUGAAAAGUGUUCUUCAGGAACAUUUUAGUUGCUUUCCUUUAGAUUUUAUUGUUACCCAAUUGAAAAACACUGAUGCAACGAAGCAAUUCAGACAAUACAGUGAGCUAACGAAACAAUUUACCCUCACUUUGUAUUUCUAUUUCCCUGUGGCAUAUAGAUUUGUACACUCUUAUGUUUCUUUUGUCCCACCCCCGGUAUUCUUCGAGGUUGGGUGUCAUCAGUAAAUCCCGAAUUUGGCUAGCUACAACAGGUUUUCUACUCUCUAAAACAAUACCAGUGACAAAUGAUAUCUUAAAGAAUGUGCACUUAUUGUUAUAGUAUGUCAAUUAGGAAGCAGUUUGUGUGGAACAACAAUAAAAAGGGCAUGCAUGUUAUGUUGAUUUGGACAACACUGAUUAUAGAUUCAGAAGAGCUAGCUACUGAAGCUUUAGUUUUUCAGAUAGUGUCAUACACUGCAAAGGUUAAGUGUCCAAGUGCACAGUUCUUUGUGAAUAAACUGUCAUCAGAUGUAAUGACUGAAAUUGUGAGAGUUUGUGUACUGAAACUGUUGUCUGUAAGUCUUCUUGCGAUGUGAGUGAUAUGUGAUGGUGUCGCUGUCAACAUUCAGACACUGAAGAAUCUCGAGUGCUCACUGAAUCUGGAAUCUCGAGUGCUCACUGAAUCUAGGAAAAUUUUGCCCCUUACUUCAAGCAUCCUGCGAAUGACAAUGUUCAUGCAAUUCGUGGUCCAUGCCAUUGGUUUGUAAUACUUUAGCUGAAAAGAAAAUUAUUAACUGUGUAGCCAGUGAUAUGAAGUGGGACUUCAUUUCGAAGUUACAUUACCUGAAAGAGUGAAUCUUUAAAAAUUGCCAGUUCACUCUCUGGUUCACAUGUGAAUUUCUAUAACAAGAAAAUAAAUGUCUCUUUAGCAGCCCAAUGA